This 93-nucleotide transfer RNA is filed under the name Salmo salar (Atlantic salmon). It matches the Rfam family "tRNA". Rfam says of the family: Transfer RNA (tRNA) molecules are approximately 80 nucleotides in length. Their secondary structure includes four short double-helical elements and three loops (D, anti-codon, and T loops). RNAcentral also lists the same sequence under 1 other name. The record is from Rfam by way of RNAcentral. Lineage: Eukaryota; Metazoa; Chordata; Actinopteri; Salmoniformes; Salmonidae.
UUCCCUGUGGCUCAGUUGGUAGAGCAUGGUGUUUGCAACGCCAGCAUGGUGUGUGCAACGCCAGGGUUGUGGGUUCGAUUCCCACAGGGGGGC